GGAAUCUUAGACAAUGGGGGAAACCCUGAUCUAGCCAUGCCGCGUGAGUGACGAAGGCCUUAGGGUCGUAACGCUCUUUCGCCAGGGAUGAUAAUGACAGUACCUGGUAAAGAAACCCCGGCUAACUCUGUGCCAGCAGCCGCGGUAAUACGGCGGGGGUUAGCGUUGUUCGGAAUUACUGGGCGUAAAGCGCACGUAGGCGGACGGUUAAGUCGGGGGUGAAAUCCCGGGGCUCAACCCCGGAACGGCCUUCGAUACUGGCAGUCUAGAGUUCGAGAGAGGUGAGUGGAAUUCCGAGUGUAGAGGUGAAAUUCGUAGAUAUUCGGAGGAACACCAGUGGCGAAGGCGGCUCACUUGCUCGAUACUGACGCUGAGGUGCGAAAGUGUGGGGAGCAAA
Molecule: ribosomal RNA, 397 nt
Filed under: uncultured bacterium
Lineage: Bacteria
Description: bacterial SSU rRNA
Rfam family: Bacterial small subunit ribosomal RNA
Source: RNAcentral